RNAcentral lists this ribosomal RNA (460 nucleotides) under uncultured bacterium. Its description in RNAcentral is "partial 16S ribosomal RNA". It matches the Rfam family "Bacterial small subunit ribosomal RNA", at positions 338 to 795 of the family's 1533-position model. The record is from RNAcentral.
CCUACGGGAGGCAGCAGUGAGGAAUAUUGGUCAAUGGACGCAAGCCUGAACCAGCCAUGCCGCGUGCGGGAAGACGGCUCUAUGAAUUGUAAACUGCUUUUGUACGGGGGUAAACGCAGAUACGCGUAUCUGUCUGAAAGUAUCGUACGAAUAAGGAUCGGCUAACUCCGUGCCAGCAGCCGCGGUAAUACGGAGGAUUCAAGCGUUAUCCGGAUUUAUUGGGUUUAAAGGGUGCGUAGGCGGUCUGUUAAGUUAGCGGUGAAAUCCCGAGGCUCAACAUCGGAAUUGCCGCUGAUACGGGGGGGAUAGAGUGUGUUUGAGGCAGGCGGAAUGUGUGGUGUAGCGGUGAAAUGCUUAGAGAUCAUGCAGAACCCCGAUUGCGAGGGCAGCUUACCAAGCCAUUUCUGACGCUGAGGCACGAAAGCGUGGGGAUCAAACAGGAUUAGAUACCCGGGUAGUC